This 253-nucleotide ribosomal RNA is filed under the name uncultured bacterium. RNAcentral describes it as "partial 16S ribosomal RNA". It matches the Rfam family "Bacterial small subunit ribosomal RNA", at positions 524 to 776 of the family's 1533-position model. The record is from RNAcentral.
GACAGAGGCCUCGAGCGUCAGGCGGAAUUACUGGGCGUAAAGCGCGUGUAGGCUGACCGGAAAGUCGGGCGUGAAAUCCCUGAGCUCAACUCAGGAACUGCACUCGAAACUCUCGGUCUAGAGUGGUGGAGAGGGAAGUGGAAUUCCUGGUGUAGAGGUGAAAUUCGUAGAUAUCAGGAGGAAUACCGGUGGCGAAGGCGGCUAUCUGGCUACACACUGACACUCAGACCCGAAAGUGCGGGGAUCAAACAGG